CGUUGCUCUACAAGUUAGUGGCAGACGGUGAGUAACGCGUGGGAAUGUACCUUUUGGUUUGGAAUAACUUCGGGAAACUGAAGCUAAUACCGGAUAAGCCCGUGAGGGGAAAGAUUUAUCGCCGAAAGAGCAGCCCGCGUUAGAUUAGGUAGUUGGUGGGGUAAAGGCCUACCAAGCCUACGAUCUAUAGCUGGUCUGAGAGGAUGAUCAGCCACACUGGGACUGAGACACGGCCCAG
This 238-nucleotide ribosomal RNA is filed under the name uncultured bacterium. RNAcentral describes it as "partial 16S ribosomal RNA". It matches the Rfam family "Bacterial small subunit ribosomal RNA", at positions 78 to 334 of the family's 1533-position model. The record is from RNAcentral.